CAUCAGGUGGUGGUGGAAUUCUCAAUGCUACAGGAAGUGUAUUUGUAAGCUUCUUUGCCUCCAUGCACACAUUAUCUGCCGUAUAUUAUAUGUCACGACCGUUUGGUUAACAGGAAAAGUUUACGUAAAAAUUUCAUGUUACUUAUUUUUAGAAAUAUGUGUUAAAUUUUGCGUUUUGACUCAAAAUUUAUUUUUGUCCGUGUACAUAAAUAUACAAAUGGACUUGUGUAUAUGUUUUAC
This 240-nucleotide small RNA is filed under the name Arabidopsis thaliana (thale cress). RNAcentral describes it as "ATSL179190". Lineage: Eukaryota; Viridiplantae; Streptophyta; Magnoliopsida; Brassicales; Brassicaceae. The record is from RNAcentral.